Molecule: non-coding RNA, 113 nt
Organism: Caenorhabditis elegans
Lineage: Eukaryota; Metazoa; Nematoda; Chromadorea; Rhabditida; Rhabditidae
Source: Ensembl
AACACGUAUAUAAUUUAUAUGCAAACAGCACACGACUCGGUGAGCCCGACUCGACUCGCGCACACGAGUAGACACAUCGUUUCCUCAACACCCUGUUUGCUACCAUGCUUUAC